Molecule: long non-coding RNA, 1737 nt
Filed under: Lynx pardinus (Iberian lynx)
Lineage: Eukaryota; Metazoa; Chordata; Mammalia; Carnivora; Felidae
Source: RNAcentral
GAAACCGUGAGAUCAUGACCUGAGCCGCAACCAAGAGUCAGAUGCUUAACCGGCUGAGCCACCCAGGCGCCCCAGGAAGAGGGGUUUUCUGCUGGGACUCCAAGCCGUGAGGCUCACGUAGGGAGGUGGAUAAGGGGUUGGUAAAUUUGUGUGGACUGUGGCAGCAAUCUUGGGUUCUUAUUCCAAUUUUCCCAUUUUGUAGCCGUGUGACUUCGGGUCCAGUGCUUAACUUCUCAGUGCUUCGACUUUGUCAUCUAUGGAAAGGGGUUAAAAUAGCACCCACUUGGUGGUGUCAUUGAGAAGUUUAAAUGACUAGAUGUUUAGAAAUUAUUUAGGAUCCCGUCUGGACCAAGGGAGCAGUUAAUAGUGUUUGCUAAUACCAGCUGUUGGGUUAGACUGGAAUUGCCAGCAGGCACCAUGUGACGACGGUCUGUCUGACACUGAAGCCAGUACAGACACAGGAAGACUGAGUCCUGAUGGGAUCGCUUGAGCACCUGGAUCCAUCCAUGCCUGAAGCCAGCGAAGCUCCAGAAUUUAUUUAAGCAGGUUAGAGUUGAGUUUCUGUUACUUGCAACUAAGAAAUUAUUAUUGCCACGUAAAAAUAUUGGUGGCGACUGGCAUAGCUCGGCUUUUUGCGAUUCCCCUUUCUCUCCAGGCUACAGUUCAAAUCUCUCAGCUAGAGCCUCCAAGAGUUCGUGACCCGUCCCCUGCCUAACUCACCGGCCUCCUUUUUCUCUGCAUUCACUUGUCUGCCACUUUCCAGCCUUUCCAAACGUGCAGGGCCCUACGCCCGUCCUGUUUGUUCGUCCUCCUCCGCGACUCUGCACAUGCAGUUCCCAGCCCUGGAAAUACCCUUCCUCGCUGGGUUGCCCCUUCCUCAGGUGUCUUGCUCUGAGACUGGAUUAGGCUUCCCUCCUGUAUCCUGGCUCAACAGGCCGUGGUGCCAGCAAGGCUCCCCACCCUCACCCCAAGACUGAGAUUUCCUUGGGGGCAGGGACCCUUUAGACAGGAGUAAAAUAGCUCUGUAUUCCCAGGGCCUGGCAUGGAGUCUGCUACAUGGAAGGUGCUCGGUGCCCGUUCCUGGAAGAACUCCCAAACACCGCGUGAGAGGGGCAGAAACGACGACAGGCAGAGACGUGAGGUGCCAGCAUUGUGAUAUGCUAAGAACCCCUAAUGUGAUUUGUUAAGAAAAUUAAGCCUUAAGGGGACCAAGGGAGGCAGCCCUUUCGAAAGCGCUCGAAGCGGCUGAGGUCGGAUACCUGCUGAUGGCUGGUUGGCCACAUCAUUGACGGUGAAGUAAACUUCCCCCUGACAGGUGCUUGAUUUAAUAAAAAAAAACCCCAAACUCAUAUCAGUCUUGACAUGCCCAGGGAAUAAGACGGCCAAUUAGAGAGAUGGAAAUCCCACUCUGGUGCAAGCCAAGAUUUAAAAGGCCCUGGUAGCCCUUAUUUAUGGAGUUUAGGUUUUCCUUUAGCCCUUGGGUGAAAAUGGGGGGUUGCCGGGGCCCUAAGUACUAAUGAAUUUUGUGCUGUGUUCUGCCUCCUGGCAUGAAGUGCUUAAUAAAUGUUCCCAUCUUUCUGCAGGGAAAUCUCUCUCUCCGCUAAUUGCUGUCAGCAUCCAUCAGGAUCACGGAGAGAGCAACAUCCCAGCCAGAGAGCCUUGGGCUUGAGCUCCAUCACCAGGAGAUGGUCUCUUUGGGAAGGCCGAGCGACCCGGAAGGGGCUGCACCUACCGGGC